GGAUGAACGCUAGCGGCAGGCUUAACACAUGCAAGUCGAGGGGCAGCGAGGGUAAUAGCAAUAUUACCUGUCGGCGACCGGCGCACGGGUGCGUAACGCGUAUGCAACCUACCAUCAACAGGGGGAUAACACUGAGAAAUUGGUACUAAUACCCCAUAAUAUCUCAUGCGGCAUCGCAUGGGGUUGAAAACUCCGGUGGUUGAUGAUGGGCAUGCGUUGUAUUAGCUGGUUGGUGAGGUAACGGCUCACCAAGGCGACGAUACAUAGGGGGACUGAGAGGUUAACCCCCCACAUUGGUACUGAGACACGGACCAAACUCCUACGGGAGGCAGCAGUGAGGAAUAUUGGUCAAUGGACGCAAGUCUGAACCAGCCAUGCCGCGUGCAGGAUGACGGCUCUAUGAGUUGUAAACUGCUUUUGUACGAGGGUAAACCCCGAUACGUGUAUUGGGUUGAAAGUAUCGUACGAAUAAGGAUCGGCUAACUCCGUGCCAGCAGCCGCGGUAAUACGGAGGAUCCGAGCGUUAUCCGGAUUUAUUGGGUUUAAAGGGUGCGUAGGCGGUUUGAUAAGUUAGAGGUGAAAUGUCGGGGCUCAACCCCGAAACUGCCUCUAAUACUGUUGGACUAGAGAAUAGUUGCGGUAGGCGGAAUGUAUGGUGUAGCGGUGAAAUGCUUAGAGAUCAUACAGAACACCGAUUGCGAAGGCAGCUUACCAAACUAUAUCUGACGUUGAGGCACGAAAGCGUGGGUAGCAAACAGGAUUAGAUACCCUGGUAGUCCACGCAGUAAACGAUGAUAACUCGUUGUCGGCGAUACACAGUCGGUGACUAAGCGAAAGCGAUAAGUUAUCCACCUGGGGAGUACGUUCGCAAGAAUGAAACUCAAAGGAAUUGACGGGGGCCCGCACAAGCGGAGGAACAUGUGGUUUAAUUCGAUGAUACGCGAGGAACCUUACCCGGGCUUGAAAGUUAGCGACGACGCUUGAAAGAGCGUUUCCCUUCGGGGCGCGAAACUAGGUGCUGCAUGGUUGUCGUCAGCUCGUGCCGUGAGGUGUCGGGUUAAGUCCCAUAACGAGCGCAACCCCUACUGUUAGUUGCCAUCAGGUGAUGCUGGGCACUCUAGCGGGACUGCCGGUGUAAGCCGAGAGGAAGGUGGGGAUGACGUCAAAUCAGCACGGCCCUUACGUCCGGGGCCACACACGUGUUACAAUGGUAGGUACAGAGGGCAGCUACCCUGCGAAGGGGUGCGAAUCUCGAAAGCCUAUCUCAGUUCGGAUUGGAGGCUGAAACCCGCCUCCAUGAAGUUGGAUUCGCUAGUAAUCGCGCAUCAGCCAUGGCGCGGUGAA
Molecule: ribosomal RNA, 1344 nt
Filed under: uncultured bacterium
Lineage: Bacteria
Description: partial 16S ribosomal RNA
Rfam family: Bacterial small subunit ribosomal RNA
Source: RNAcentral